GAUGAACGCUAGCGACAGGCCUAACACAUGCAAGUCGAGGGGCAUCGGGACGUAGCAAUACGUUGCCGGCGACCGGCGGAUGGGUGAGUAACGCGUAUGCAACCUACCCGUAGCAGGGGGAUAGCCCGUUGAAAGACGGAUUAAUACCCCCGUAACACAGGGGCUCCGCAUGGAGAUUAUUGUUAAAGGGUCAUUUCUUUUUCAGGGAUGGUCCGGCUGCGGAUGGGCAUGCGUUCCAUUAGGUAGUUGGUGUAGGUAACUGCUCACCAAGCCGACGAUGGAUAGGGGAACUGAGAGGUUGGUCCCCCACACUGGUACUGAGACACGGACCAGACUCCUACGGGAGGCAGCAGUGAGGAAUUUUGGUCAAUGGACGCAAGUCUGAACCAGCCAUGUCGCGUGAAGGAGGACGGCCCUAAGGGUUGUAAACUUCUUUUGCAGUGGAAUAAAGUUUGCCACGUGUUGGCGAUUUGCUAAGUACGCUGCGAAUAAGGAUCGGAUAACUCCGUGCCAGC
RNAcentral lists this ribosomal RNA (515 nucleotides) under uncultured bacterium. RNAcentral's name for it is "bacterial SSU rRNA". It matches the Rfam family "Bacterial small subunit ribosomal RNA", at positions 28 to 512 of the family's 1533-position model. The record is from RNAcentral.